This is a non-coding RNA of Caenorhabditis elegans, 21 nucleotides long. Lineage: Eukaryota; Metazoa; Nematoda; Chromadorea; Rhabditida; Rhabditidae. The record is from Ensembl.
UGUUGAUAUGAGGAAAUCGGG